AGAAGUGCGAAUGCUGACAUAAGUAACGAUAAUGCGGGUGAAAAACCCGCACGCCGGAAGACCAAGGGUUCCUGUCCAACGUUAAUCGGGGCAGGGUGAGUCGACCCCUAAGGCGAGGCCGAAAGGCGUAGUCGAUGGGAAACAGGUUAAUAUUCCUGUACUUGGUGUUACUGCGAAGGGGGGACGGAGAAGGCUAUGUUAGCCGGGCGACGGUUGUCCCGGUUUAAGCAUGUAGGCGGGAAGUUUAGGUAAAUCCGGACUUCUUUUAACGCUGAGGUGUGAUGACGAGGCACUACGGUGCUGAAGUAACAAAUGCCCUGCUUCCAGGAAAAGCCUCUAAGCAUCAGGUAACACGAAAUCGUACCCCAAACCGACACAGGUGGUCAGGUAGAGAAUACCAAGGCGCUUGAGAGAACUCGGGUGAAGGAACUAGGCAAAAUGGUGCCGUAACUUCGGGAGAAGGCACGCUGAUAUGUAGGUGAAGUGAUUUACUCAUGGAGCUGAAAUCAGUCGAAGAUACCAGCUGGCUGCAACUGUUUAUUAAAAACACAGCACUGUGCAAACACGAAAGUGGACGUAUACGGUGUGACGCCUGCCCGGUGCCGGAAGGUUAAUUGAUGGGGUUAUCCGUAAGGAGAAGCUCUUGAUCGAAGCCCCGGUAAACGGCGGCCGUAACUAUAACGGUCCUAAGGUAGCGAAAUUCCUUGUCGGGUAAGUUCCGACCUGCACGAAUGGCGUAAUGAUGGCCAGGCUGUCUCCACCCGAGACUCAGUGAAAUUGAACUCGCUGUGAAGAUGCAGUGUACCCGCGGCAAGACGGAAAGACCCCGUGAACCUUUACUAUAGCUUGACACUGAACACUGGUCCUUGAUGUGUAGGAUAGGUGGGAGGCUUUGAAGUGUGGACGCCAGUCUGCAUGGAGCCAUCCUUGAAAUACCACCCUUUAAUGGCUGGUGUUCUAACGUAGACCCGUGAUCCGGGUUGCGGACAGUGUCUGGUGGGUAGUUUGACUGGGGCGGUCUCCUCCUAAAGAGUAACGGAGGAGCACGAAGGUUAGCUAAUCCUGGUCGGACAUCAGGAGGUUAGUGCAAAGGCAUAAGCUAGCUUGACUGCGAGAGUGACGGCUCGAGCAGGUGCGAAAGCAGGUCUUAGUGAUCCGGUGGUUCUGAAUGGAAGGGCCAUCGCUCAACGGAUAAAAGGUACUCCGGGGAUAACAGGCUGAUACCGCCCAAGAGUUCAUAUCGACGGCGGUGUUUGGCACCUCGAUGUCGGCUCAUCACAUCCUGGGGCUGAAGUAGGUCCCAAGGGUAUGGCUGUUCGCCAUUUAAAGUGGUACGCGAGCUGGGUUUAGAACGUCGUGAGACAGUUCGGUCCCUAUCUGCCGUGGGCGCUGGAGAAUUGAGGGGGGCUGCUCCUAGUACGAGAGGACCGGAGUGGACGCAUCACUGGUGUUCGGGUUGUCAUGCCAAUGGCAUUGCCCGGUAGCUAAAUGCGGAAGAGAUAAGUGCUGAAAGCAUCUAAGCACGAAACUUGCCCCGAGAUGAGUUCUCCCUGACUCCUUGAGAGUCCUGAAGGAACGUUAAAGACGAUGACGUUGAUAGGUCGGGUGUGUAAGUGUAGCG
RNAcentral lists this ribosomal RNA (1621 nucleotides) under Citrobacter freundii. Its description in RNAcentral is "partial 23S ribosomal RNA". It matches the Rfam family "Bacterial large subunit ribosomal RNA", at positions 1284 to 2880 of the family's 2925-position model. The record is from RNAcentral. Lineage: Bacteria; Pseudomonadati; Pseudomonadota; Gammaproteobacteria; Enterobacterales; Enterobacteriaceae.